This is a long non-coding RNA of Anolis carolinensis (green anole), 1732 nucleotides long. RefSeq lists it as uncharacterized. The record is from RefSeq and is a predicted model, not a curated record. NCBI's taxonomy places the organism in Eukaryota, Metazoa, Chordata, Lepidosauria, Squamata, Anolidae. The transcript has 2 exons.
CUGAAGGUCACCUUCCAGGUGCAGCCCAUCUCAUCCAACUGGCUUACCUCCGUUUGCGUGGCUUCGUCCUUGCAGUGAUGGGUUGUGUUCUUUGCCUUACUGCAAUGGGAGCGGAGGAAUUGAGAGUGUGGCAUCCCAUGCCUGGCACCACGCUGGCAAGAUCUGGGUUGGGAUCUGGGGAGUCUGUUUCGUGGAACCUACUCCUGAUGGUGAUUCCACAAAGCAAUGCCUCGAGUUCCUGGAUGAACACUGGUUCCCCCCAAAGGAGAUUUUCUUUGCACAGGACUUAAUGUCUUUAGCUUGUAUUGUACUGUCCUUAGCUCUAGCUUUCAUAUCUUUUGCUUUGUGGAUCCUUUUCUACAAUGCAAGACCGAAAAACACAUUGCUCAAUUUUUUCUGGGUUGGGGGAGUUCUAAAUGUACUGCCUAGUUUCACCAUUCUUAUCCCACUUUUGUGGAAUAUGCACUCUUUACUUGCCAAUGAAGAGAUAAAGUUCCCCACUGAUUUCCGUUUGCCUGCUCUUCCCUAUGAGGAGACUCUUGGUUUGUCCAUCUAUGUGGGGAUUUCUGCCUCAGGAUUCCAGGUGACCAGAUUCUUCUUCAUUUUCAGUGAGAAAUUUCGGAUGAGGCCUAAUGGAGGCCAUCCUAUCAUUCUGGUCACCCCAAUACAAUCCACCAGCAGCAAUAUUUUGACACGUGAAAAGGCUGAGGGAGCCAGGAACGAUUUGGGCCCCCCUUCUUUUUGGACGUCAUUUGGUAUGUUCCAUCAGACACGAGGAGAAGCCAAAUGGCUCCCUAUUUCUCAGCAUGGAGAAGUGGUCCAGAGUGAGACUGGGCUUGGCUGAAGGUCACUUUCCAGGUGCUCCCGGCUCAUCCAACUGGCUUACCAUUGUUUGUGUGGCUUCGUCCUUGCGGUGAUUGGUUGGAUCCUGUGCCUUACUACAACGGAAGAGUGUGGCAUCCCAUGCCUGGCCCCGCUGUGGCAAGAUCUGAGUUGGGAUCUGGGGAGUCUGUUUCCUGAGACCUCCUCCUGACGGCGAUCCCACAAAGAGGCAGUGCCUGGAAUUCCUGGAGGACGAUUGGUUCCUUCCAGAGAGAAUUGCUACCGUGCAGGAUCUGGUGUAUUUAGCUAGCAUUGUGCUAUCCUUAGCUAUUGUUUUCAUGUUUUUUGCCUUGUGGAACCUUUUCCAAAAGGCUAGACCUAAAAAUGCUUUGCUCAAUUUUUUCUGGGUUGGGGGAAUUCUAAACGUACUGUCUGGUUUCAUUAUUCUUAUUCCACUUUUGUGGAAUGAGCAUUCUGUACUAGCACAUGAAGAGAUUAAAUUCCCCAUUGCCUUCCGUUUGCCUGCUCUUCCCUAUGAGCAGACUCUUGCGUAUGCCAUCUAUGUGGGGAUUUUUGCCUUAGGAUUCCAUCCAACCAGUUUUUUCUUCAUUCUCAGUGAGAUAUUUCAGAUGUGGCCCAAUCCUAUCAUUAUGGUCACUCCAAUACAAUCCACCAGUAGCAGUGGCACGGAAACCUGUCCCCAUUAUGGAUCAUCCAUAUCUCUUGAUCAACUACUAUCUGAAAAACUAUAUUUAAUGUUAAAGGGGUGUAAAUAUUUUAAAAAGUAGUUUUUAUUGUGUGUUGAUUCCAAAAAUUACAUUGAGCUGUUUCUGUUUUUACUUUGUGUUAACAAUAUGUUUAAAUGUAGAAUAAAUUGUUUGUAACUCAAUAAAUUAAAAAGUAUUCACGA